This 98-nucleotide transfer RNA is filed under the name Curtobacterium citreum. RNAcentral describes it as "tRNA-Glu". Lineage: Bacteria; Bacillati; Actinomycetota; Actinomycetes; Micrococcales; Microbacteriaceae. The record is from RNAcentral.
GUCGUCGCGCGGGCCGGGUCGCUGCGGGCCCUCGGGCAACUCGAGGCCGCCGAGCGGCUGCUGCAGGACGCGCUCGGUACGGCUCCGGGCGACGCUGC